RNAcentral lists this ribosomal RNA (468 nucleotides) under uncultured bacterium. RNAcentral describes it as "partial 16S ribosomal RNA". It matches the Rfam family "Bacterial small subunit ribosomal RNA", at positions 28 to 507 of the family's 1533-position model. The record is from RNAcentral.
GACGAACGCUGGCGGCGUGCUUAACACAUGCAAGUCGAACGGAAAGGCCCUGCUUUUGUGGGGUGCUCGAGUGGCGAACGGGUGAGUAACACGUGAGUAACCUGCCCUUGACUUUGGGAUAACUUCAGGAAACUGGGGCUAAUACCGGAUAGGAGCUCCUGCUGCAUGGUGGGGGUUGGAAAGUUUCGGCGGUUGGGGAUGGACUCGCAGCUUAUCAGCUUGUUGGGGGGGUAGUGGCUUACCAAGGCUUUGACGGGUAGCCGGCCUGAGAGCGUGACCGGCCACAUUGGGACUGAGAUACGGCCCAGUCUCCUACGGGAGGCAGCAGUCGGAAAUAUUGCACAAUGGGCGGAAGCCUGAUGCAGCAACGCCGCGUGCGGGAUGACGGCCUUCGGGUUGUAAACCGCUUUCGCCUGUGACGAAGCGUGAGUGACGGUAAUGGGUAAAGAAGCACCGGCUAACUACGUG